Molecule: transfer RNA, 75 nt
Filed under: Planctomycetota bacterium
Lineage: Bacteria; Pseudomonadati; Planctomycetota
Also listed under: 1 other name
Description: tRNA-Arg
Rfam family: tRNA
About the family: Transfer RNA (tRNA) molecules are approximately 80 nucleotides in length. Their secondary structure includes four short double-helical elements and three loops (D, anti-codon, and T loops). Further hydrogen bonds mediate the characteristic L-shaped molecular structure. tRNAs have two regions of fundamental functional importance: the anti-codon, which is responsible for specific mRNA codon recognition, and the 3' end, to which the tRNAs corresponding amino acid is attached (by aminoacyl-tRNA synthetases). tRNAs cope with the degeneracy of the genetic code in two manners: having more than one tRNA (with a specific anti-codon) for a particular amino acid; and 'wobble' base-pairing, i.e. permitting non-standard base-pairing at the 3rd anti-codon position.
Source: RNAcentral
GCGCCCUUAGCUCAACGGAUAGAGCACCGGCCUCCGGAGCCGGGGAUAGGGGUUCGAUUCCCUUAGGGCGUACCA